Molecule: ribosomal RNA, 484 nt
Filed under: uncultured bacterium
Lineage: Bacteria
Description: partial 16S ribosomal RNA
Rfam family: Bacterial small subunit ribosomal RNA
Source: RNAcentral
AUUGAACGCUGGCGGAAUGCUUUACACAUGCAAGUCGAACGGCAGCACGGGGGCAACCCUGGUGGCGAGUGGCGAACGGGUGAGUAAUACAUCGGAACGUGCCCGGUCGUGGGGGAUAACGUAGCGAAAGUUACGCUAAUACCGCAUACGAUCUGAGGAUGAAAGCGGGGGACCUUCGGGCCUCGCGCGAUCGGAUCGGCCGAUGUCAGAUUAGGUAGUUGGUGGGGUAAAGGCCUACCAAGCCGACGAUCUGUAGCUGGUCUGAGAGGACGACCAGCCACACUGGGACUGAGACACGGCCCAGACUCCUACGGGAGGCAGCAGUGGGGAAUUUUGGACAAUGGGCGCAAGCCUGAUCCAGCCAUGCCGCGUGCAGGACGAAGGCCUUCGGGUUGUAAACUGCUUUUGUAUGGAACGAAAAGGCUCUGGCUAAUACCUGGGGCUCAUGACGGUACCGUAAGAAUAAGCACCGGCUAACUACGUG